RNAcentral lists this ribosomal RNA (465 nucleotides) under uncultured bacterium. RNAcentral describes it as "bacterial SSU rRNA". It matches the Rfam family "Bacterial small subunit ribosomal RNA", at positions 338 to 795 of the family's 1533-position model. The record is from RNAcentral.
CCUACGGGUUGCAGCAGUAGGGAAUCUUCCGCAAUGGGCGAAAGCCUGACGGAGCAACGCCGCGUGAGUGAUGAAGGUCUUCGGAUCGUAAAACUCUGUUAUUAGGGAAGAACAAAUGUGUAAGUAACUAUGCACGUCUUGACGGUACCUAAUCAGAAAGCCACGGCUAACUACGUGCCAGCAGCCGCGGUAAUACGUAGGUGGCAAGCGAUAUCCGGAAUUAUUGGGCGUAAAGCGCGCGUAGGCGGUUUUUUAAGUCUGAUGUGAAAGCCCACGGCUCAACCGUGGAGGGUCAUUGGAAACUGGAAAACUUGGGUGCAGAAGAGGAAAGUGGAAUUCCAUGUGUAGCGGUGAAAUGCGCAGAGAUAUGGAGGAACACCAGUGGCGAAGGCGACUUUCUGGUCUGUAACUGACGCUGAUGUGCGAAAGCGUGGGGAUCAAACAGGAUUAGAUACCCGUGUAGUC